This is a long non-coding RNA of Lepidothrix coronata (blue-crowned manakin), 428 nucleotides long. RefSeq lists it as uncharacterized. NCBI's taxonomy places the organism in Eukaryota, Metazoa, Chordata, Aves, Passeriformes, Pipridae. The transcript has 4 exons. The record is from RefSeq and is a predicted model, not a curated record.
UCAAACAGAAGACAGGAUAAACAAAACUGAGGAGUCUCAUGCAAUUCAGGACUUCACAGCUGCCUUGAUGGUGUAUAUGGAGAUGACAAAGGCACAUGGGAAGUGCUUCUCUGUUAAUGAAAAAGAAUAGGGAAAUUAUUCUGGGAGUCAAUCCAGAGCUGUUACAAAAAGACUUCACCUCUUGAUGAAUGUAACCAGCCUCUGAAUGCCAAAUCAGCCCCAUCAAGUUCAAGUCAAAGGUCUGGCAACAACAGAACCUUUCCACACUCAUCAGAUGCAUUAUCAUAUUGCCAACUUUCCUGCUGAAUGUGAACUCCUUGUACUGCCUGGAUUUAUCUGGAGGGAGGUGGUGAUACUUCGAGUCAGCAAUUCAGGACAAACUUAUGGUGCUUCCAUUUCUGGCCUCAGGUAGCAGAAGGCAACACAAU